RNAcentral lists this ribosomal RNA (476 nucleotides) under uncultured organism. RNAcentral describes it as "partial 16S ribosomal RNA". It matches the Rfam family "Bacterial small subunit ribosomal RNA", at positions 334 to 801 of the family's 1533-position model. The record is from RNAcentral.
CACUCCUACGGGAGGCAGCAGUGGGGAAUUUUGGACAAUGGGCGAAAGCCUGAUCCAGCAAUGCCGCGUGAGUGAAGAAGGCCUUCGGGUUGUAAAGCUCUUUUGUCAGGGAAGAAACGGUGAGAGCUAAUAUCUCUUGCUAAUGACGGUACCUGAAGAAUAAGCACCGGCUAACUACGUGCCAGCAGCCGCGGUAAUACGUAGGGUGCAAGCGUUAAUCGGAAUUACUGGGCGUAAAGCGUGCGCAGGCGGUUUUGUAAGUCUGAUGUGAAAUCCCCGGGCUCAACCUGGGAAUUGCAUUGGAGACUGCAAGGCUAGAAUCUGGCAGAGGGGGGUAGAAUUCCACGUGUAGCAGUGAAAUGCGUAGAUAUGUGGAGGAACACCGAUGGCGAAGGCAGCCCCCUGGGUCAAGAUUGACGCUCAUGCACGAAAGCGUGGGGAGCAAACAGGAUUAGAUACCCCGGUAGUCCCAUGAU